CAUUAUUGAAUAAACUUGAUCAGGUUGUUGCUGGCUCCCCCGAGCAUGUGCACACUUGUCAUCUUUACUUCUCCCCACUGUGCACAUAUUGUAGGCCUGGAAUUCUUGUGAUUAUUUUGUAUAGAUUGAGGACUGCUGUGCUUUAGCCAGCUUUUCCUUGCAUUUCCUGGUCUAUGUUUACCUUCACAACCUCUGAAUAUGUUUAGAAUGUUGGAAUAUAAUAUAUAUAUAUACAACUUUCAGCAACGGAUCUCUUGGCUCUCGCAUCGAUGAAGAACGCAGCGAAAUGCGAUAAGUAAUGUGAAUUGCAGAAUUCAGUGAAUCAUCGAAUCUUUGAACGCAUCUUGCGCUCCUUGGUAUUCCGAGGAGCAUGCCUGUUUGAGUGUCAUCAAUCUCUCAACUACAUCAAUCAUUCUGGUUUGGUGUAGCCUUUGGAUGUGGGGGUUUUAUUUUGCUGGCCUCUAUUAAACGAGGUCAGCUCCCCUGAAAUUUAUUAGCGGUAUCUGAGCAGAGACCUACUACAGGUGUGAUAAAUUAUCUAUGCCUUGGUAAUGCUGCAUCAACAGAUUGUGCUGCUUCCAGUGAAUCAUUUGACAAAUUUGACCUCAAACCAGGUAGGACUACCCGCUGAACUU
This 635-nucleotide ribosomal RNA is filed under the name uncultured fungus. Its description in RNAcentral is "eukaryotic LSU rRNA". The stretch from base 235 to 388 matches the Rfam family "5.8S ribosomal RNA". Lineage: Eukaryota; Fungi. The record is from RNAcentral.